UAGUGCAAACUGGGAAGCAGGUGUCA
This 26-nucleotide non-coding RNA is filed under the name Homo sapiens (human). The record is from RNAcentral. Lineage: Eukaryota; Metazoa; Chordata; Mammalia; Primates; Hominidae.